UCUUUAUGGACGGCACAACUUCCGACCAUGCUGUCAACAGAGGAAUCUUUGCGCACAUGCGUCACUAGUUUGUUGGAGUGGAACGUUUGAAGACACGGAGGAAAAAGUUUCAAAGAAGUAAAUUUGACCUCAUUCGGCGGUUAAGAGUCCUGAUGAUUAAGAGGAUCACCUACAGGCCAGAUUUGUAAAGCAGUUUUAUUUUUGGAGGCCAAGAGCAACCCAACUCUGCAGAUUUGUUUGAACAACCGGAAACAUCAGGAGAUCUUUCAAAAUCAUGGCAGCCUUCACCAGUUCAUUGACUCAGAUAUCCUGAGAGUUUGUAAUGUUGUCCUCUUUAUUUGUAUUCUUUUUUGUCCAGUUAAUACUUAGAAUUUAAAUGAAUUCAAACAAUGUACAUCUGUGAUAAUUAUGUCUUCCCCAGGCAAUUUACCAUCCAGUCCAAAAACUAUUUUGACCCCCCCUCUGCAUUCCUCUACACCGGCAGAGCUCCUAACACCCCAGUAGUAUCCUGGAGGGCCUGUGAUAGACGGAGCAGUCCUGUGAUGACCCCAAAGGACCCCACAGGAGACUCCUAGACCUCAGACUGGAAAAACAGACUCCAGCUCCAUGUGGUGGUGGUGGGGGGGGGGGCUACAGGAAACACAGAACUUCCUCCUUCUGAAUUUUUUUCUAAAAGCCCCACAAAGUUCUUUAAAAACAAGUGUUUUUUUAAAACAAAUGUUUUAAAUCUUUUUUUUAUUUUCUUUUCACAUUGCGAGGCAAAUUUCAUAAAACCAGUUGGUUGUUAAAAGUAUUUAUAUUUAUAGUUUGUUUUACAUUUUUUCCACUGUUAUAAUGUCUAAUAUUUUGUUCAGUUUAUUUUGAAUUGUUUUAAUUUUUCCAAGUUCAAGGUUUAAAUUUAUCUUCUAUUUGUGUAACAUUAAAGAAAAAUGAUGCCAA
Acanthochromis polyacanthus (spiny chromis) is the source of this 939-nucleotide long non-coding RNA. RefSeq lists it as uncharacterized. The transcript is spliced from 5 exons. The record is from RefSeq and is a predicted model, not a curated record. Lineage: Eukaryota; Metazoa; Chordata; Actinopteri; Pomacentridae.